This 350-nucleotide ribosomal RNA is filed under the name uncultured Acidovorax sp. RNAcentral's name for it is "bacterial SSU rRNA". It matches the Rfam family "Bacterial small subunit ribosomal RNA", at positions 1030 to 1382 of the family's 1533-position model. Lineage: Bacteria; Pseudomonadati; Pseudomonadota; Betaproteobacteria; Burkholderiales; Comamonadaceae. The record is from RNAcentral.
UGAGACAGGUGCUGCAUGGCUGUCGUCAGCUCGUGUCGUGAGAUGUUGGUUAAGUCCGCAACGAGCGCAACCCCUAUCUUCAGUUGCCAUCAUUAAGUUGGGGCACUCUGUAGAGACUGCCGGUGUCAAACCGGAGGAAGGUGGGGAUGACGUCAAGUCCUCAUGGCCCUUAUAGGUGGGGCUACACACGUCAUACAAUGGAUGGUACAAAGGGUCGCCAACCCGCGAGGGGGAGCCAAUCCCAUAAAGCCAUUCGUAGUCCGGAUCGCAGUCUGCAACUCGACUGCGUGAAGUCGGAAUCGCUAGUAAUCGUGGAUCAGAAUGUCACGGUGAAUACGUUCCCGGGUCUU